Molecule: long non-coding RNA, 2110 nt
Filed under: Pongo abelii (Sumatran orangutan)
Lineage: Eukaryota; Metazoa; Chordata; Mammalia; Primates; Hominidae
Description: lincRNA
Source: RNAcentral
GUUCCUGUUCCUGGCUUUCCUGGCUUUUUGGAUCCCCAUCCUGGCUCUGGGGGGAAGGAGGAUGGGUCUGGAGCACCUGUGAGACCCGAGCCUGGGCCCACCACAACAGAGGAUGCAGCCUCCCAACCCCAACAGCCCCAGAUUGGAGUCCCUGAGAGAAGCUGGGCCCUGUUUAACCCGACAAAGGGUGACUUUCUUCUCUGGAGUGCUCCGGGUCACGCUUGGGGACACAUGAAGGAUACACCCUCCCUGUCAGGCUUCCAUCGCACGUUGAACCUGGCUUGUGAACACAGCCCUCCGGGACACUACUAGGAACAAAGUGUUCCAGGCGCUGCAGGAGCUCAGCUGCCACCUGGAAAACCUGUUUGGCCACUUAGGUCCAGAUGACGGGAGCCAGCCGGGCUCAGGAGAACAGAGCUGGCCCAGUAACACCUCGCUUCCUCCCUGCUGCAGAGACCUAGGAGGGCCCUGCCCAGCACAGCACACUGGAGUGGCCCUGCGGCGGCAUCUGGGCUGCUGUACCCAUGGUGCCUCCCAGCCCGCGGGGCUCCCGGCAGCUCUGGAGACUCCUGCAUCACGUCACCUGGCCCCUCACCAUCACCAUCCUCAUCUCUCCUGGGAAUUAAAACAUUGAAGGAACAGAAGCAGGCUGCUGCCAGCAUUGCAUUUCUGUCAAGAAGCUGCCCCGCAAAAUUUAUGGAUGUAUUGCUGUAUGCACCUAAUAGCAAGCUCUACUGGAUGAAUGGCUUAUAAAGAUCUCCCCUGAAUAAAAUUGUGGUUUUUAACUUUAGUCUAGAAGAACAUGUCAAUUCUCUGUGCAUCCUUUAUGGCAGCCUCAGCAUGUGUUCAGCACUGGUAUUUAUUCUAUAUGACUGUUUGUUAAGCAACAGGCUGAAUUAAAAUGGGAAAGCUCACCAAGGAGUUUUCUUGAAAUACUGCUUUUCUAGCAAGGAGAACAUAGAAGAUGGUGAGGCAGCCUCGGCUGGAGUGCUGACUGCCCAGAAGCAGAGGGGCAAAAUGCACUCCAGUGUGGAUUUUGGUCAUUGAGGCUUUGCUGAGAGCAUGUCCCAGGCUGGGUUCACUUUUGCCUGAAGAGGCUGCAGCAGAAUGAAAACUCAACUGUGCAAAAGAAAACACUCAAAUUUUAAAAAGCACAAGAUUCUGCUGGGAUCAUCUGGUAGCAGGGGCAGCAGGAAAGACGUAAUAGAGAUUUCAAAGCAGGCUGAGGAGGAGGACAGGGCAUUCCAGCCUCUGUGGUUCAGCAAUCUCACCACCCCACAACCAACAGUGGCUUUCCAGCACAGAUCUUCAUGGAUUGCAGCAUUCGGGACCUGAGUCCAUGCCCAUGCAGAGGCCCAUUGCAGUGUUUGCUUAGUGUAGCUGCAUUUCCAGAAUGCAGGCAGGAGAAGCUGUAAUAGAUUCUCACCCUGCCGUGCGCACUGAUGGCUCACAUUCUAAACAGUCAGGAGUGAUUUUGGAUUUGGGCUGACCUGGUAGACUUCUGAAAGGCAGUGCUUUGGGUUCAAGUUGUCCUCAGGGCUGGAUGAUCCAUAGCAAAUGUCCCCUGAUGGAUAAGCAUGGUGCUGAGAGGCUUGCCUACAUCAGCUGUGUAAGCCUCAGGAAGGCCUGUACACAGGUAUACUGAGGCACGCAGAGACCAGCUCGUAGUCAGUGACAAGUAACUUGCCAAGAGCGGUGGUUUAAAAGCAUAUCUGCAAAUUCUUGGACACUCUUGUCAUCCAGAAAUAGAGUCUAACCCUCCUCCCUUGAAUAUGGGCUGGCUUCAGUGGUGGAAAUGACAAUGUGUGAGUUUGAAGUUUGAUUAGAAAAGAUGACACAGCUUCUGCCUGACUCUCAAGACCCUUGUUCUCAGACCUUAGCUGCCAUGCUGGGGGGAAGCCCAGCAGCCACACGGAGAGGCCACGACAGCCGAGGUCUCAGCCAAGCCAGCAUCAACUGCCCAACAUGUCAGUGAGUGAUCCUGCAGAGCCUCCCAUCUCCUAGGCACCGCAGCUGAUGCUCUGAGAGCGGAGGCAAGCUGUCCUUGCUGGGCGCUGCUUAAAUUGCAGAUGUAUGAACAAAAUAAAAAUGGUGGUUAUUUUAAGACAUU